RNAcentral lists this ribosomal RNA (771 nucleotides) under uncultured bacterium. RNAcentral's name for it is "bacterial SSU rRNA". It matches the Rfam family "Bacterial small subunit ribosomal RNA", at positions 8 to 776 of the family's 1533-position model. The record is from RNAcentral.
AGAGUUUGAUCCUGGCUCAGGAUGAACGCUAGCGGCAGGCCUAACACAUGCAAGUCGAGGGGUAGAGGGUGCUUGCACCCUUGAGACCGGCGCACGGGUGCGUAACGCGUAUGCAAUCUACCUUAUACAGGGGAAUAGCCCAGGGAAACUUGGAUUAAUGCCCCAUGGUCCAUAGAAGCGGCAUUGUUUUUAUAGUAAAGAUUUAUCGGUAUAAGAUGAGCAUGCGUACCAUUAGCUAGUUGGUGCGGUAACGGCGCACCAAGGCUACGAUGGUUAGGGGCCCUGAGAGGGGGAUCCCCCACACUGGUACUGAGACACGGACCAGACUCCUACGGGAGGCAGCAGUGAGGAAUAUUGGACAAUGGGCGGGAGCCUGAUCCAGCCAUGCCGCGUGCAGGAAGACUGCCCUAUGGGUUGUAAACUGCUUUUUUACGGGAAGAAACACCCCCCUCGUGAGGGGGCUUGACGGUACCGUACGAAUAAGGACCGGCUAACUCCGUGCCAGCAGCCGCGGUAAUACGGAGGGUCCGAGCGUUAUCCGGAAUCAUUGGGUUUAAAGGGUCCGUAGGCGGGCGUCUAAGUCAGUGGUGAAAUCCCGCAGCUCAACUGUGGAAUUGCCAUUGAUACUGGUCGCCUUGAAUCAAUGUGAAGUGGCUAGAAUAUGUGGUGUAGCGGUGAAAUGCUUAGAUAUUUACAUAGAAUACCGAUUGCGAAGGCAGGUCACUAACAUUGCAUUGACGCUGAUGGACGAAAGCGUGGGGAGCGAACAGG